This 240-nucleotide unclassified non-coding RNA is filed under the name soil metagenome. RNAcentral's name for it is "partial contains 5.8S ribosomal RNA, internal transcribed spacer 2, and large subunit ribosomal RNA". The record is from RNAcentral.
AACAUCGCGCACCUGCGGGAACCUGCGGAAGGAUCAUUACAGAGUUACUACUCCAAACCCAUUGUGAACCUUACCUAUGUUCUGUUGCCUCGGCGGCGUGGUCAGCGCCCCUCUGAAAAGAGGACGAUGCCCUCCCGCCGGCAGCACCAAACUCUUGAAUUUUACAGCGGAUUACAGUUCUGAUUUGAAAACAAAAAACAAGUUAAAACUUUCAACAAUGGAUCUCAGAUCGGAAGAGCA